This 654-nucleotide ribosomal RNA is filed under the name uncultured bacterium. RNAcentral's name for it is "bacterial SSU rRNA". It matches the Rfam family "Bacterial small subunit ribosomal RNA", at positions 569 to 1223 of the family's 1533-position model. The record is from RNAcentral.
UCGUAGGUGGUUUGUCGCGUCGUCUGUGAAAUUCCGGGGCUUAACUCCGGGCGUGCAGGCGAUACGGGCAUAACUUGAGUACUGUAGGGGUAACUGGAAUUCCUGGUGUAGCGGUGAAAUGCGCAGAUAUCAGGAGGAACACCGAUGGCGAAGGCAGGUUACUGGGCAGUUACUGACGCUGAGGAGCGAAAGCAUGGGUAGCGAACAGGAUUAGAUACCCUGGUAGUCCAUGCCGUAAACGGUGGGCGCUAGGUGUGAGGGUCUUUUCACGACUUUCGUGCCGUAGCUAACGCAUUAAGCGCCCCGCCUGGGGAGUACGGCCGCAAGGCUAAAACUCAAAGGAAUUGACGGGGGCCCGCACAAGCGGCGGAGCAUGUGGAUUAAUUCGAUGCAACGCGAAGAACCUUAGCUGGGCUUGACAUACACCGGAUCGGGCUAGAGAUAGUCUUUCCCUUUGUGGCUGGUGUACAGGUGGUGCAUGGUUGUCGUCAGCUCGUGUCGUGAGAUGUUGGGUUACGUCCCGGAAGGAGCGCAGCCUUGUCUUAUGUUGCCAGCAUUUGGUUGGGGACUCAUGAGAGACUGCCGGGGUCCAUUCGGAGGAAGGUGGGGAUUACGUCAAAUCAUCAUGCCCCUUAUGUCCAGGGCUUCACACAU